GGUUCCUUAGCUCAGCUGGUUAGAGUAUUGUACUAAUAUUAAGAAUCAGUAUUGGUCAUGCAAUGGUCGGCGGUUCGAGCCCGCCAGGAAUCA
This is a non-coding RNA of Papiliotrema laurentii, 93 nucleotides long. The record is from the annotation of a GenBank genome assembly. NCBI's taxonomy places the organism in Eukaryota, Fungi, Basidiomycota, Tremellomycetes, Tremellales, Rhynchogastremaceae.